AGCGCUUCUCGGCCUUUUGGCUAAGAUCAAGUGUAGAUUUUGGACUUUCCCUGUCAGCCAUCACAAUCUUGCAAGCCAAUUUUUUGCAAUAUGUCUAUAUUUUUAAGAUUUGGGGUAGUUUGUCAUGCAUCAAUACUGCCCCCUUUUA
Molecule: small nuclear RNA, 148 nt
Filed under: Panthera leo (lion)
Lineage: Eukaryota; Metazoa; Chordata; Mammalia; Carnivora; Felidae
Also listed under: 1 other name
Description: U2 spliceosomal RNA (ENSPLOG00000002063.1)
Rfam family: U2 spliceosomal RNA
About the family: U2 is a small nuclear RNA (snRNA) component of the spliceosome (involved in pre-mRNA splicing). Complementary binding between U2 snRNA (in an area lying towards the 5' end but 3' to hairpin I) and the branchpoint sequence (BPS) of the intron results the bulging out of an unpaired adenosine, on the BPS, which initiates a nucleophilic attack at the intronic 5' splice site, thus starting the first of two transesterification reactions that mediate splicing.
Source: Rfam by way of RNAcentral